AUGGUCUUGAUAUGUCUGGAGA
This 22-nucleotide microRNA is filed under the name Callithrix jacchus (white-tufted-ear marmoset). RNAcentral describes it as "cja-miR-9934". Lineage: Eukaryota; Metazoa; Chordata; Mammalia; Primates; Cebidae. The record is from miRBase by way of RNAcentral.